CGGCAACAGCUCAAAUUUGAAAUCUGGCCUUCUGGUCCGAAUUGUAAUUUGUAGAGGAAGCUUCCGAACGUGGUCUGGUCUAAGUUCCUUGGAACAGGACGUCAUAGAGGGUGAGAAUCCCGUAUGCGACUGGGUGCCUAAGUUCAAGUGAAGCUCCUUCGAC
RNAcentral lists this ribosomal RNA (163 nucleotides) under Alatospora sp. Its description in RNAcentral is "partial large subunit ribosomal RNA". It matches the Rfam family "Eukaryotic large subunit ribosomal RNA", at positions 99 to 261 of the family's 3401-position model. Lineage: Eukaryota; Fungi; Ascomycota; Leotiomycetes; Leotiales; Leotiaceae. The record is from RNAcentral.